RNAcentral lists this ribosomal RNA (465 nucleotides) under Vreelandella stevensii. RNAcentral describes it as "partial 16S ribosomal RNA". It matches the Rfam family "Bacterial small subunit ribosomal RNA", at positions 338 to 795 of the family's 1533-position model. The record is from RNAcentral. Lineage: Bacteria; Pseudomonadati; Pseudomonadota; Gammaproteobacteria; Oceanospirillales; Halomonadaceae.
CCUACGUGAGGCAGCAGUGGGGAAUAUUGGACAAUGGGGGGAACCCUGAUCCAGCCAUGCCGCGUGUGUGAAGAAGGCCCUCGGGUUGUAAAGCACUUUCAGUGAGGAAGAACGCCUGGUGGUUAAUACCCAUCAGGAAAGACAUCACUCACAGAAGAAGCACCGGCUAACUCCGUGCCAGCAGCCGCGGUAAUACGGAGGGUGCGAGCGUUAAUCGGAAUUACUGGGCGUAAAGCGCGCGUAGGUGGCUUGAUAAGCCGGUUGUGAAAGCCCCGGGCUCAACCUGGGAACGGCAUCCGGAACUGUCAAGCUAGAGUGCAGGAGAGGAAGGUAGAAUUCCCGGUGUAGCGGUGAAAUGCGUAGAGAUCGGGAGGAAUACCAGUGGCGAAGGCGGCCUUCUGGACUGACACUGACACUGAGGUGCGAAAGCGUGGGUAGCAAACAGGAUUAGAUACCCGUGUAGUC